Molecule: long non-coding RNA, 306 nt
Filed under: Salmo salar (Atlantic salmon)
Lineage: Eukaryota; Metazoa; Chordata; Actinopteri; Salmoniformes; Salmonidae
Description: lncRNA (ENSSSAG00000094717.1)
Source: RNAcentral
CAGGGUUAGGGCUAGGGUCAACACCGUCCCCCAGCAGGUAAAGACAGGGUUAGGGCUAGGGUCAACACUGUCCCCCAGCAGGUAAAGACAGGGUUAGGGCUAGGGUCAACACCGUCCCCCAGCAGGUAAAGACAGGGUUAGGGUCAACACCGUCCCCCAGCAGUUAAAGACAGGGUUAGGGCUAGGGUCAACACCGUCCCCCAGCAGGUAAAGACAGGGUUAGGGCUAGGGUCAACACCGUCCCCCAGCAGUUAAAGACAGGGUUAGGGCUAGGGUCAACAUCGUCCCCCAACAGCUAAAGACAGG